GGAGAGGUGUCCGAGUGGCUUAAGGAGCCGGUUUCGAAAACCGGUGUGCCCCUUGGGGUACCGCGGGUUCGAAUCCCGCCCUCUCCG
This 87-nucleotide transfer RNA is filed under the name Planctomycetota bacterium. Its description in RNAcentral is "Planctomycetes bacterium tRNA-Ser". It matches the Rfam family "tRNA". From Rfam's summary of the family: Transfer RNA (tRNA) molecules are approximately 80 nucleotides in length. Their secondary structure includes four short double-helical elements and three loops (D, anti-codon, and T loops). Further hydrogen bonds mediate the characteristic L-shaped molecular structure. tRNAs have two regions of fundamental functional importance: the anti-codon, which is responsible for specific mRNA codon recognition, and the 3' end, to which the tRNAs corresponding amino acid is attached (by aminoacyl-tRNA synthetases). tRNAs cope with the degeneracy of the genetic code in two manners: having more than one tRNA (with a specific anti-codon) for a particular amino acid; and 'wobble' base-pairing, i.e. permitting non-standard base-pairing at the 3rd anti-codon position. The record is from RNAcentral. Lineage: Bacteria; Pseudomonadati; Planctomycetota.